Molecule: non-coding RNA, 978 nt
Organism: Arachis ipaensis
Lineage: Eukaryota; Viridiplantae; Streptophyta; Magnoliopsida; Fabales; Fabaceae
Source: RefSeq, a predicted model, not a curated record
AAAAUGAUACACAAAUUAUAAACAACUCAAGGGUAUAUAAGUCAUUUUGCUACUAAUUCUCCUUCCUUCUCCAGUUUUCUUCGCAGGUCAUGGGUGAAAAAAAAUUAAAUGGGCCCCAUGCAACUUUUUUCUUUUCCACCCUCUUUUCUAUUCCAUCCAAACGACGUAAAACAAGUUUUCCAUUCAUUUUCCCUUCAAAGGUUUUCUUUCCUUUCAUUUUUCACAGAUCCAAACAAUGUGUAAGCUAUCUCCUCGCAUAGCGUCCUCUCGCCGCCGCACUCUCCGGCAGAGUGCAGAGAGAGGGAAUUUGGAUCGAUGGGAAGGGGAAGAGUGCAGUUGAAGAGGAUCGAGAAUAAGAUUAAUAGGCAAGUCACGUUCUCAAAGAGAAUUAUUUUUCUUUUCUGUUUUUUUUUUCUUUCUUUUUUUUUUUUCUAGCAGCAGAGAAAGAAGAAGAACAACUCGAGCAUGGCACAAACGCUAGCGAUGCCCGUAGCUCCCUCUCUCGCCCUAAUCUCAAACCCUAGACCUCUUUCCAGAGCCGUCUAUUUCCCUGUUCUCAACCCUCCCAAGGUGAGAGGGUUAAGCAUAGAGUGCGCUCGAGUUGGCGGAGUGAAGAUUACGAACAACAAGAGAAUCGAGUUCUCGCUACAGUACAUCCAUGGAAUCUCAGUGCUAUGCGAUGCCGAAGUCGCACUCAUCGUCUUCUCUACCACAGGCAAGCUCUUCGAAUAUUCCAGCGAUCCCUGAGCUGAAGCUUGUUGGACUUCUUGAUGAAUAGGGAUGGAUUAUAUCAUUGAGUAUUUAUUGAGAAAGAACAACAAGAAUAUGAAGGUUGGAAGUGUUCAAGUAGCUGCUUCUCAAAGAGUAUUUUUAUAGAAUACGGAUUGAAUCAAAAUGAAGAAGCAAGAACAGAGUUGAGAGCAGUAGAUGCGUGGAUACUGACUGACAAGCCUUACUCUAAUCAAUCCAUUCAUUCGG